Molecule: transfer RNA, 72 nt
Filed under: Oberthuerella sharkeyi
Lineage: Eukaryota; Metazoa; Arthropoda; Insecta; Hymenoptera; Liopteridae
Description: tRNA-Arg
Source: RNAcentral
AUGAAUAAAUCUAAAAUUUAGAAAUUAAUUUCGACUUAAUCUUUUGAUUAUUUUUUAUAUAAUCUAUUCAUU